Molecule: unclassified non-coding RNA, 200 nt
Filed under: Pleosporales sp.
Lineage: Eukaryota; Fungi; Ascomycota; Dothideomycetes; Pleosporales
Description: partial internal transcribed spacer 2
Source: RNAcentral
UUAAGUUCAGCGGGUAUCCCUACCUGAUCCGAGGUCAAGAGCGAAAAUAUGGCCUUGAUGGACGCUGCAACGCGUGGCGAGGAGCGCAAAAUGUGCUGCGCUCACACACCAGAUUGCCGGCUGCCAAUGCAUUUGAGGCGAGUCCCGCGCAGAGCAGCGGAACAAACGCCCAACACCAAGCAGAGCUUGAGGGUACAAAU